AACGCAUCUUGCGCUCCUUGGUAUUCCGAGGAGCAUGCCUGUUUGAGUGUCGUGAACCUCUCAACCCGUCCCCUUCUCUUUGCGAGUCGGGCUCUCGGGUUGGAUUUGGACGUCUGCCGCGGGGUUUGACUACCCUUCGGCUCGUCUUGAAAUGCAUCAGCUGGUCCGCCGCGAGUUCGGUCAUUAACGACGGUGUGAUAAGAAACGCUUAGUGCGCCGUCGGCCGAUUCGUUGGAGGGCUGCUUCCAACCGUCUUAGGACAAACCAUCACUUCAUCUGACCUCAAAUCAGGUAGGACUACCCGCUGAACUUAA
RNAcentral lists this unclassified non-coding RNA (314 nucleotides) under Pluteus sp. RNAcentral describes it as "partial contains 5.8S ribosomal RNA, internal transcribed spacer 2, and large subunit ribosomal RNA". The stretch from base 1 to 52 matches the Rfam family "5.8S ribosomal RNA", at positions 103 to 154 of the family's 154-position model. RNAcentral also lists the same sequence under 2 other names. The record is from RNAcentral. Lineage: Eukaryota; Fungi; Basidiomycota; Agaricomycetes; Agaricales; Pluteaceae.